Molecule: ribosomal RNA, 328 nt
Filed under: uncultured eukaryote
Lineage: Eukaryota
Description: partial 18S ribosomal RNA
Rfam family: Eukaryotic small subunit ribosomal RNA
Source: RNAcentral
CCCUUAGAUGUCCGGGGCUGCACGCGCGCUACACUGAAGGAAUCAGCGUGCUAAAACCAUUGUCGAAAGGCAUUGGUAAACCCAUUAAAAUCCUACGUGAUUGGGAUCGGGAAUUGCAAUUAUUUCCCUUAAACGAGGAAUUCCCAGUAAGUGUGGGUCAUAAGCUCGCGUUGAUUACGUCCCUGCCCUUUGUACACACCGCCCGUCGCUGCCCGGGACUGAGCCGUUUCGAGAAAAGCGGGGACUGCUGCUGUCGGGGCUUUCGGGCCUUGGCUUCGGUGGAAACCGCUUUAAUCGCAGUGGCUUGAACCGGGCAAAAGUCGUAACA